CCUACGGGAGGCAGCAGUGGGGAAUAUUGGACAAUUGGGGGAACCCUGAUCCAGCCAUGCCGCGUGUGUGAAGAAGGCCCUCGGGUUGUAAAGCACUUUCAGUGAGGAAGAACGCCUGGUGGUUAAUACCCAUCAGGAAAGACAUCACUCACAGAAGAAGCACCGGCUAACUCCGUGCCAGCAGCCGCGGUAAUACGGAGGGUGCGAGCGUUAAUCGGAAUUACUGGGCGUAAAGCGCGCGUAGGUGGCUUGAUAAGCCGGUUGUGAAAGCCCCGGGCUCAACCUGGGAACGGCAUCCGGAACUGUCAAGCUAGAGUGCAGGAGAGGAAGGUAGAAUUCCCGGUGUAGCGGUGAAAUGCGUAGAGAUCGGGAGGAAUACCAGUGGCGAAGGCGGCCUUCUGGACUGACACUGACACUGAGGUGCGAAAGCGUGGGUAGCAAACAGGAUUAGAUACCCUGGUAGUC
RNAcentral lists this ribosomal RNA (465 nucleotides) under Vreelandella stevensii. RNAcentral describes it as "partial 16S ribosomal RNA". It matches the Rfam family "Bacterial small subunit ribosomal RNA", at positions 338 to 795 of the family's 1533-position model. The record is from RNAcentral. Lineage: Bacteria; Pseudomonadati; Pseudomonadota; Gammaproteobacteria; Oceanospirillales; Halomonadaceae.